Molecule: non-coding RNA, 217 nt
Organism: Pseudonaja textilis
Lineage: Eukaryota; Metazoa; Chordata; Lepidosauria; Squamata; Elapidae
Source: RefSeq, a predicted model, not a curated record
AAGUCUCAGCUAUUUUAGUCCCAGGGUCUUCAGUAGAAGUUACGAGAGCAUUAGGGAUGGGGAGGGACAGGAAAGUUCUUUAAGUGGCUGAGUGAGACCAUCGCUGAGGAGAUGAGCAGACUGAGCACCAGGGAGUGAUCAAACUCAUCGCCAGUCAUGAAUCCUUUCAUGCUCAUAAGAGAUCUACUGGCAGUUUUGUUUGCAGAAGAAGGAGAAG